CUCUAUAUUCAGUGCAGUGUGUCUGAUUGUAGAGGUGAAUGUGAAGAGCUGCUGGAUUCAGUGCAGCAGGAUGAAGGAGAGCAGAGAACAGCAGAGGAACAGGAAGCUCUGAGUGAUGCUCUGAACACCGUUACACAGUGAAAAGAAUGAACAGAAGAAAAACUGAGAUUUGCAGAUCCAUCUUUGAUCAGGAGGAACCCGUCUGAGCAGAUGAGCAGUGCCUGGGGUGAUUAGAAAUGACACUUUAAAGCACACUACCCAGGAGAUCAUUUGAAACCGGUGAACUUCUGAAAAGUUCAAGGAUCCAGUAAGGGAAUGCAUUAGUAACAAGUAAUAAGUUCAAUAGCACUAAUGGAGAGAAACUGGCUCUGCACUUCUUUUUUUUUUUCCACUUCAAGCACUGCAUAGGCCUGUGUUGUAUGUCAGUUACUUUUACAAAACAGGAGGAAUUUUGAAACUUGCACAUUAGCAGCUUAGGGCUUUUUCGGUACACUGAACAGAAUGAUUUUCUUUGGAAACGCCGUUUGGUCUCCCUCC
Long non-coding RNA from Cyprinus carpio carpio, 537 nucleotides. NCBI's taxonomy places the organism in Eukaryota, Metazoa, Chordata, Actinopteri, Cypriniformes, Cyprinidae. The record is from Ensembl.